CCUACGGGGGGCUGCAGUGGGGAAUAUUGGACAAUGGGGGCAACCCUGAUCCAGCCAUGCCGCGUGUGUGAAGAAGGCCCUCGGGUUGUAAAGCACUUUCAGUGAGGAAGAACGCCUGGUGGUUAAUACCCAUCAGGAAAGACAUCACUCACAGAAGAAGCACCGGCUAACUCCGUGCCAGCAGCCGCGGUAAUACGGAGGGUGCGAGCGUUAAUCGGAAUUACUGGGCGUAAAGCGCGCGUAGGUGGCUUGAUAAGCCGGUUGUGAAAGCCCCGGGCUCAACCUGGGAACGGCAUCCGGAACUGUCAAGCUAGAGUGCAGGAGAGGAAGGUAGAAUUCCCGGUGUAUCGGUGAAAUGCGUAGAGAUCGGGAGGAAUACCAGUGGCGAAGGCGGCCUUCUGGACUGACACUGACACUGAGGUGCGAAAGCGUGGGUAGCAAACAGGAUUAGAUACCCGAGUAGUC
This 465-nucleotide ribosomal RNA is filed under the name Vreelandella stevensii. RNAcentral describes it as "partial 16S ribosomal RNA". It matches the Rfam family "Bacterial small subunit ribosomal RNA", at positions 338 to 795 of the family's 1533-position model. Lineage: Bacteria; Pseudomonadati; Pseudomonadota; Gammaproteobacteria; Oceanospirillales; Halomonadaceae. The record is from RNAcentral.